CAGCCGCCGCGGUAAUACGAACCGUGCGAACGUUAGUCGGAAUUACUGGGCUUAAAGCGCGUGUAGGCGGGCCCGAACGUCCGGUGCUGAAAGCCCCCGGCUCAACCGGGGAAGUGGCACGGAUACGGCGGGCCUGGAGGGGGGUAGGGGGGUCUGGAACUUCCGGUGGAGCGGUGAAAUGCGUUGAGAUCGGAAGGAACGCCCGUGGCGAAAGCGAGACCCUGGACCCUUUCUGACGCUGAGACGCGAAAGCCAGGGGAGCGAACGGGAUUAGAUACCCCCGUAGUCCCUGUCUCUUAUA
RNAcentral lists this ribosomal RNA (301 nucleotides) under uncultured bacterium. RNAcentral's name for it is "partial 16S ribosomal RNA". It matches the Rfam family "Bacterial small subunit ribosomal RNA", at positions 509 to 807 of the family's 1533-position model. The record is from RNAcentral.